UGCCUUUGUGUUGCCCAUUCAUACUGCCUUUGGUGAAUGUGGUGUCAAAAAAGGCAUAUAUCAACUGUAGCUGUCAUGUGAUUGAUUAUUCAUUUUUCUCUGCAUUUCAGCUAGAACAUAC
This 121-nucleotide small nucleolar RNA is filed under the name Naja naja (Indian cobra). Its description in RNAcentral is "Small nucleolar RNA SNORA13 (ENSNNAG00000002383.1)". It matches the Rfam family "Small nucleolar RNA SNORA13". From Rfam's summary of the family: ACA13 is a member of the H/ACA class of snoRNA that guide the sites of modification of uridines to pseudouridines. Lineage: Eukaryota; Metazoa; Chordata; Lepidosauria; Squamata; Elapidae. The record is from Rfam by way of RNAcentral.